Molecule: ribosomal RNA, 446 nt
Filed under: uncultured bacterium
Lineage: Bacteria
Description: bacterial SSU rRNA
Rfam family: Bacterial small subunit ribosomal RNA
Source: RNAcentral
GACCAGACUCCUACGGGAGGCAGCAGUGAGGAAUAUUGCACAAUGGGGGAAACCCUGAUGCAGCGACGCCGCGUGAGUGAAGAAGUAUUUCGGUAUGUAAAGCUCUAUCAGCAGGGAAGAAGUUGACGGUACCUGAGUAAGAAGCCCCGGCUAACUACGUGCCAGCAGCCGCGGUAAUACGUAGGGGGCAAGCGUUAUCCGGAUUUACUGGGUGUAAAGGGAGCGUAGACGGCAGUGCAAGUCUGAAGUGAAAGCCCCGGGCUUAACCCGGGAAUUGCUUUGGAAACUGUACGGCUGGAGUGCUGGAGAGGUAAGCGGAAUUCCUAGUGUAGCGGUGAAAUGCGUAGAUAUUAGGAGGAACACCAGUGGCGAAGGCGGCUUACUGGACAGUAACUGACGUUGAGGCUCGAAAGCGUGGGGAGCAAACAGGAUUAGAUACCCCCGUA